UAGGGAAUCUUCGGCAAUGGACGAAAGUCUGACCGAGCAACGCCGCGUGAGUGAAGAAGGUUUUCGGAUCGUAAAACUCUGUUGUUAGAGAAGAACAAGGACGUUAGUAACUGAACGUCCCCUGACGGUAUCUAACCAGAAAGCCACGGCUAACUACGUGCCAGCAGCCGCGGUAAUACGUAGGUGGCAAGCGUUGUCCGGAUUUAUUGGGCGUAAAGCGAGCGCAGGCGGUUUCUUAAGUCUGAUGUGAAAGCCCCCGGCUCAACCGGGGAGGGUCAUUGGAAACUGGGAGACUUGAGUGCAGAAGAGGAGAGUGGAAUUCCAUGUGUAGCGGUGAAAUGCGUAGAUAUAUGGAGGAACACCAGUGGCGAAGGCGGCUCUCUGGUCUGUAACUGACGCUGAGGCUCGAAAGCGUGGGGAGCAAACAGU
RNAcentral lists this ribosomal RNA (429 nucleotides) under Gemmatimonadota bacterium. Its description in RNAcentral is "Gemmatimonadetes bacterium partial 16S ribosomal RNA". It matches the Rfam family "Bacterial small subunit ribosomal RNA", at positions 355 to 776 of the family's 1533-position model. Lineage: Bacteria; Pseudomonadati; Gemmatimonadota. The record is from RNAcentral.